CCUACGGGAGGCAGCAGUGAGGAAUAUUGGUCAAUGGACGCAAGUCUGAACCAGCCAAGCCGCGUGCAGGAAGACGGCUCUAUGAGUUGUAAACUGCUUUUGUACGAGGGUAAACGCAGAUACGCGUAUCUGUCUGAAAGUACCGUACGAAUAAGGAUCGGCUAACUCCGUGCCAGCAGCCGCGGUAAUACGGAGGAUUCAAGCGUUAUCCGGAUUUAUUGGGUUUAAAGGGUGCGUAGGCGGUCGGGUAAGUUAGAGGUGAAAUCCCGAGGCUCAACUUCGGAAUUGCCUCUGAUACUGGUAGGCUAGAGAGUAGUAGAGGUAGGCGGAAUGUAUGGUGUAGCGGUGAAAUGCUUAGAGAUCAUACAGAACACCGAUUGCGAAGGCAGCUUACCGGGCUACUACUGACGUUGAGGCACGAAAGCGUGGGGAGCAAACAGGAUUAGAUACCCGAGUAGUC
RNAcentral lists this ribosomal RNA (460 nucleotides) under uncultured bacterium. Its description in RNAcentral is "partial 16S ribosomal RNA". It matches the Rfam family "Bacterial small subunit ribosomal RNA", at positions 338 to 795 of the family's 1533-position model. The record is from RNAcentral.